CAGCCGCCGCGGUAAUACGGAAGGUUCGGGCGUUAUCCGGAUUUAUUGGGUUUAAAGGGAGCGUAGGCCGUUUGGUAAGCGUGUUGUGAAAUGUAGUAGCUCAACUUCUAGAUUGCAGCGCGAACUGUCAGACUUGAGUGCGCACAACGUAGGCGGAAUUCAUGGUGUAGCGGUGAAAUGCUUAGAUAUCAUGAAGAACUCCGAUUGCGAAGGCAGCUUACGGGAGCGCAACUGACGCUGAAGCUCGAAGGUGCGGGUAUCGAACAGGAUUAGAUACCCUGGUAGUCCGCACAGUAAACGAUGGAUGCCCGCUGUUAGCACCUAGUGUUAGCGGCUAAGCGAAAGCAUUAAGCAUCCCACCUGGGGAGUACGCCGGCAACGGUGAAACUUAAAGGAAUUGGCGGG
This 405-nucleotide ribosomal RNA is filed under the name uncultured microorganism. Its description in RNAcentral is "bacterial SSU rRNA". It matches the Rfam family "Bacterial small subunit ribosomal RNA", at positions 509 to 917 of the family's 1533-position model. The record is from RNAcentral.